AGCGCGGUGGCUUAGUGGUUAGCGCGUUUGCCUCUUACCUCCAGGAUUGCCGGUUUGAUUCCCGCCUCUGCUC
This is a non-coding RNA of Pangasianodon gigas (Mekong giant catfish), 73 nucleotides long. Lineage: Eukaryota; Metazoa; Chordata; Actinopteri; Siluriformes; Pangasiidae. The record is from the annotation of a GenBank genome assembly.